CAGGAGCCUUUUCACAGAGGUGGAGCUGGUGAAACGCCUUCCUCAGUCCACUCCCAGCUCAUCCUCUCCAGGGCCACCCAAGCGUCAUGACAAGGCCACUGCACUUGCAAGGACGGUCUUCAGCCUUGUUUGCCAUCCGGCAGGUACCCUUGCAUCCCUGUGGAGAUACCUGCUGAUCGUGUGUAUCUUCACUGUGCAAAAGAUGGCCGUGCACAAGAAGAGGUUCUUGAGAUUCAUUGUCUUCUUGCUUCCAGUGGUUCUUGGUGAGUCUGUGUGAGCAACCAUUUGAGAGUAACAGCCUGGUUGUGCUGGGUGCCAGCUUUUCUUUUUGGCCCAUAUGUGUGGAAACUCGCAUGGUCCAAGUGCUUCUGGUGUGCAUCCUUGACAAUGACUUGCUUUUUAGCUACCAGUAAGACUGGUAGCUUCCCAGCCAUGCUGCUGCACUGGCCACAGGACCAAAGGGCUUGCUUAGUCUGCAAGCCUGCGAGAGAAGGGAGCAUGUAUUUCCAAGCCUGAACUGGGGGAUACCCAGAGGGGCUGUGCAGGGUGACUGAUGCCCCUCCUGAUACCUCUCCUGGCUGAUGCAGCCUGGUCUCAGGGCUCACAGAAGCAGUAAGGGGAAAUGGGAAAGAGCUCUGGGUCACCGAGCACACCUGAAGCUCAUGGCUACACAAUGCCCUGAAGCCUGUGGUGAUGGUUUCCAGUCAGAGGCACGUCCUGUCUCUGCACCCUGUGUUCCCCACCUCCUCAGCUUAGCUGCUGCCCCAUCCACAAGGCAACCAGGAGGAGACCACGGUGCUUCAGGGACCACUAGCAACCCAGGUCAAGUGACUGUCUCUUGGUGAUGUGAAUUGCAGCUGGUGUUUACUGUGGGACCUCACUGCCAGCGUGGACAAUGCAGGCAAAGGCACAGAGAGAGGUUGGUGGACCCUCUGGGACAGGCAGCUCCUGCAAGGGAGCAUUGCUGACAGUGGCUGGCUAAAUCGUGGGCUUUUCUGUGUCCACACAGAGUGAGCCAAAGAAGCAGUGGCU
This is a long non-coding RNA of Pezoporus flaviventris, 1032 nucleotides long. RefSeq lists it as uncharacterized. Lineage: Eukaryota; Metazoa; Chordata; Aves; Psittaciformes; Psittacidae. The transcript is spliced from 3 exons. The record is from RefSeq and is a predicted model, not a curated record.